AUUGAACGCUGGCGGAAUGCUUUACACAUGCAAGUCGAGCGGCAGCACGGGGGCAACCCUGGUGGCGAGCGGCGAACGGGUGAGUAACACAUCGGAACGUACCCUGUCGUGGGGGAUAACGAGUCGAAAGAUUCGCUAAUACCGCAUACGACCCGAGGGUGAAAGCGGGGGAUCGCAAGACCUCGCGCGACUGGAGCGGCCGAUGGCGGAUUAGCUAGUUGGUGGGGUAAAGGCCCACCAAGGCGACGAUCCGUAGCGGGUCUGAGAGGACGGCCCGCCACACUGGGACUGAGACACGGCCCAGACUCCUACGGGAGGCAGCAGUGGGGAAUUUUGGACAAUGGGGGCAACCCUGAUCCAGCCAUUCCGCGUGAGUGAAGAAGGCCUUCGGGUUGUAAAGCUCUUUCGGCAGGAACGAAAAGGCUCUCUCUAACAUAGGGGGUCAAUGACGGUACCUGAAGAAGAAGCACCGGCUAACUACGUG
RNAcentral lists this ribosomal RNA (484 nucleotides) under uncultured organism. RNAcentral's name for it is "bacterial SSU rRNA". It matches the Rfam family "Bacterial small subunit ribosomal RNA", at positions 29 to 507 of the family's 1533-position model. The record is from RNAcentral.